CGGAGGGUGCAAGCGUUAUCCGGAUUCACUGGGUUUAGAGGGUGCGUAGGUGGGUCUGUAAGUCAGUGGUGAAAUCCCCGAGCUUAACUUGGGAACUGCCGUUGAUACUAUAGAUCUUGAAUAUCGUGGAGGUAAGUGGAAUAUGUCAUGUAGCGGUGAAAUGCUUAGAUAUGACAUAGAACACCAAUUGCGAAGGCAGCUUACUACACGAUCAUUGACACUGAGGCACGAAAGCGUGGGGAGCAAACAGGAUUAGAUACCCUGGUAGUCCACGCCCUAAACUAUGGAUACUCGACAUCAGCGAUACACAGUUGGUGUCUGAGCGAAAGCAUUAAGUAUCCCACCUGGGAAGUACGAUCGCAAGAUUG
This 368-nucleotide ribosomal RNA is filed under the name uncultured organism. RNAcentral's name for it is "bacterial SSU rRNA". It matches the Rfam family "Bacterial small subunit ribosomal RNA", at positions 526 to 896 of the family's 1533-position model. The record is from RNAcentral.